ACCCAGCUUGUCGAGUUCCUCAUCCACCACCACGAGGAACUCCUUGGAGAGCAGGUGGCCAGGGUGGCCAGCGAGGGGGCCAAGGAGACACCAGCACCACAACCAGAGCUGGAAACAGCAGAGGUGCCUCCUGUUGCUCCUGAGAGCAAACAGCAGAGGAGCUUUUCCGGGGAGAAAAGCUUCCCAGGUUCUUCGCAGAACACCAG
Melopsittacus undulatus (budgerigar) is the source of this 206-nucleotide long non-coding RNA. RefSeq lists it as uncharacterized. The transcript is spliced from 3 exons. Lineage: Eukaryota; Metazoa; Chordata; Aves; Psittaciformes; Psittaculidae. The record is from RefSeq and is a predicted model, not a curated record.